This is an RNA transcript of Artibeus jamaicensis (Jamaican fruit-eating bat), 6320 nucleotides long. It is a transcript of the gene named protein adenylyltransferase SelO-like, with no coding region annotated. NCBI's taxonomy places the organism in Eukaryota, Metazoa, Chordata, Mammalia, Chiroptera, Phyllostomidae. The record is from RefSeq and is a predicted model, not a curated record. The transcript is spliced from 20 exons.
UGUCCCGCCCGGUGCGCCUCUUUUCGUUCCUUCCCCAGGGGUUGGGCCGCCAGCGCUCUCCAGCGGCGGCCACGCGGGACCUGGGCACCAUUCUGCGCCUGGGCACCAGUCUGCGCGGGAGUCGGCGAGGACCUCCGGGCUGUCGGCGCAAGUUGUGGACCUAGGGGUGCGCGGCGGCGGCUGGGCCCUUCCUCCGCUAGCGGUAUUCUGGCCGGGGAGAAAGUAGCCGUGACUUUCCACUUGGCGAGCCGUCUCUCCCGAUUCCUCCCUGUGGUUCUCCGGGAGCCAGUAACUCCAACAGGGCAAAAUGUACCCUCGGGUGACCGGCUGUUAGAAAGAAGUGCCACAGUGCGCCAGACUUCCACUCAACGACUUCUGUCCUACAUAUUUAGGCAGAAAUAUGACUCAAAGCAUUGGGUUCCCGUUUUGUUGCUUAACCCAGAGGGUACACAUUCCACGGCUGCUUCUCUUGUGUGUGACCUACCAACCUGUUAUCUGCUCCUUAUUACAACUUUGCUCUGAAGGAAGUGCCAGCCUUUUGCACCUUUUCAGUAACAAGUCAAACCAGGAGCAGGGCUAUUGUGAAGCUGAAGCUAGAUUAGCCUCGUCUCUCGACUUUUGGACCCUCUCCUCUGAAAACCUUAUAGCUGUGUUGCCAAUUGAUCCUGCUAAAGAAAAUUAUGUUCGUAAAGUGAAAAAUUGUAUUUUUUCGAUUGCCUUGCCUACUCCUUUUAAAUCAAGAGUACAUCUUGUAGCAGUUUCAAAGGAAGUUUUAGAAGACAUUUUGGACCUUGAUUUGUCUGUCUCAGAAACAGAGGAUUUUAUCCAGCUUGUAAGUGGUGAAAAGAUAGUAUUUGGAUCCAUCCCACUGGCUCACAGAUAUGGUGGCCACCAGUUUGGGAUAUGGGCAGAUCAGCUUGGGGAUGGAAGAGCCCACCUUAUUGGAGUUUACAUGAAUAGGCACGGUGAGAAGUGGGAGCUUCAAUUAAAAGGCUCAGGAAAGACCCCAUAUUCCCGAAAUGGCGAUGGCAGAGCUGUGCUUCGCUCCUCGGUGAGAGAGUUUUUGUGCAGUGAGGCGAUGCACUAUCUUGGAAUUCCAAGCAGCAGAGCUGCCAGUCUGGUUGUGAGUGAUGAUGAAGUAUGGAGAGACCAAUUCUACAAUGGAAACAUUGUGAGAGAACGAGGUGCAGUAGUACUGCGUGUUGCAAAAUCAUGGUUUAGAAUCGGAUCAUUAGAAAUUUUGGCUCAUUAUGGUGAACUGGAUUUACUAAGGACAUUAUUAGAUUUCAUCAUACGGGAACACUUCCCCUCAGUAGAUGUCAAAGAACCUAAUAGAUAUGUGAGAUUUUUUUCCAUUGUGGUAUCCAAGACGGCACAACUUAUUGCCUUGUGGAUGUCUGUUGGUUUUGCUCACGGUGUUUGUAAUACUGAUAACUUCAGUUUGUUAUCCAUUACAAUCGACUAUGGUCCAUUUGGUUUUAUGGAGGCCUAUAACCCAGAUUUUGUACCUAACACAUCUGAUGAUGAAAGAAGAUAUAAAAUAGGAAACCAGGCCAAUAUUGGGAUGUUUAAUUUAAAUAAGUUGUUACAAGCUAUAAACCCAUUACUGGAUCCUGGGCAAAAGCAGCUCGCUGCUCAGAUUCUUGAGGGGUAUCCUGUUCUUUAUUAUAGAAGAUUUAGAGAAUUGUUCAAAGCCAAAUUGGGAUUACUUGGAGAAACAAAGGGUGAUGAUGAUUUAAUUGCAUUGCUCUUACACCUUAUGGAAGAGACAGAAGCUGAUUUUACGAUGACAUUUCGACAGCUCAGUGAGAUUACUCAAAGCCAGUUACAGGAGCUCAGCAUUCCUCAGCAAUUCUGGGCACUGAAGAUGAUUUCAAAGCAUAAACUCUUUCCUGUCUGGGUGUCUCAGUACCUCUUGAGACUGAAGAGUAAUAUGAAUGAUUCAGAUUCCAAAAGAAGAGAAAGAAUGACAACUGCCAACCCUAGAUACGUGCUGAAGAACUGGAUGGCGGAGUCUGCAGUGCAGAAAGCAGAGAGCAAUGACUUUUCAGAGUUAGGUGACCAGAGCAAAAACAUGUGGAUCCCAUGCAGUUGAUGCCUCCCAGCCAGUGACCUUGCUGGUGCCCGUGGUAUGUUUCUCCAGGGCUCUGGCUCAACUGUGUAAGGAAGAGGGGACCAGAAAAGAGGAAGGGGAGGAGGUAGGCAGAAAGGGAUUCCCGAUUCCCAGAGAAAAGGAGCCAGCUAAAGCUGGGGAGGCAUCAGACAGAAGGUACCCGCGCUUACUGCCUCCAGUCCACUCGAGUGAUUCCACAGCAUGUUCUCCCCAGAUGUGGCUAGUGCCAGCCCUCAGCCUCGGUCCUUGUUCUGAGCUACCCUCCGUGGUUCUGAGGCCCAGGGGAUCACUUGCCUGUGAGGGAAGCCCACUCUGCAGGCCAGUGACUGAGGGAGGCAGUUGUUGGGUAAAGAGGGGGGUUCCCUGACUAGUGCUCCAAACAGGGUGAGGUUCAAGUAAGUGCAGUCAGCUAGUGAGUCCUCUGACCCUUGGGAACAUUUUUAAAACACUAUUCUUGAAGUUCACCUUCACAGCUUUUCGUGGGAGGAGGGGGUGUUGGAAGGAGCACAUAGUUGAUUUGUACUAGGCCCUUUGGAUUGACAUGAGUCCCUAAAACAUUCUCUGAGGGCCCUACUGAUUUUGUGUGAUGAGUUGAGGUGAAGAAAGAGGCUUCGAUAACAGUGUUUGGCAAGAACUGAACUUUAAAAGACGGUGUCAUUUCAAACAGGUCUUUGGUGCUGAGAUGCAAUCACGGUCAUCAUGUGUGCAUAUGUGUGUGUCUACUGAGAAGAAUGAACUUCACCUUCUAUUUGAAAGUGGCUUUACUUCCUUCUAAACUCAUCUUCAGUUUCUUCCAUGCUGGUCAGUAAUGUAGAACUUAAAGCCCUAUACAGCCAGCAUUGAUGGCAAUCAAUUGUAAGAAUAAGCUAGAAAAUUUAAAUUCUAAGAAUAAGAGAAAGUUUAAAUUGAGGACUUUUUCCUGUUUAGAUGCUCACAGAAGCAUUGUAUUAAUAAGCAGGAUGGCUCCCAGUAUGGUUUAUUUUUGAAAUCUCAGCUAUAUUCUCGGAUUCUAUAGCAGCACCGACAUGGGUCAAUUUACCAUCAACUAAAGGAUAUUCCAUUGUGUACAAGAUCCACCUUUUAAAUCAAUGGAAAUCUCAUCUGAGUGAUACAAUCAUAUUCUUCAGAAAUUGGUUUUAAGAAAUCAUCUAGAAGGAACGGAACUACCAUCAGUGUGCGUUUAGUAUUAGUGACAACAACUACGUUAGUUUACUUAAUCUUCAGAGACACUCUAUAAGGGAUACAUCAUUUGUGGUCCCAGCCAUCUUCGAAUUCCAGCUGAGCAUUUAUUACCUGCAAGGCAUUGCACUCGGUGCUGGGGAAACCACUAUGUACAGUACAUAAUGGUCUCUGACCUCAUGAUUUCCAUCAGAAUCUAAGUGAAUAAUCAAUCACAAAGGACAAUUUGAGACCUGAGGAAUGUAGGGAUAUAGCGUCUGUAAAAUCUCUGAACAAGGCUGGUGCUGGGGGCUUUGCAGAACUGGGAAAAAGCAAAUGGUACAUGUGGUAUGAACAGGAAGAGAAGAGUGGAGAAAGAGGUGAGAGAGAUGGCAAACCCAUAUUAUGCAGCUAAAGAUUUUAGACUUUAUCUCAGAGCUGCCUUUGUUAGGAGGUAAGAGUGGCCUCGGCCAGGAUGGGUGCGCAUGCAGCAAGUUGUUGGGUUUCGUGGUGGGAAGUAAAAAGAGGCCUCUUUUGAUGGUUCCAUUUUCUCUGAUGAGAGUAAAGGAGUUGCAGGUUGGAAGUGUGAGGAGUGUGAAGAACAUGUAAAACAUUUAGGGAAACUAGAAGAUUUUGUUGACCGGAGCAUGUCUCUUCAACGUCACUGACAUUUGGGACUAGAAAAUUCUUUGUGUGUGAGUUGUCUUAGGCCUUGUAGGACAGGCAGCAUCCCUGCCCUCCACCCAUUAGAUGACACUAGCAUCCCCCAAGAGUGGUAGCCGAAAUGUCCUCAGACAUUGCCAAUGUUCUCUGGGGGUCAGAGCCCAGAGAAACCGCCUAGAGAAGCAUAGUAAGAUGGGCAGGCAGUGUUAGCGCCCAUUUGUGGCUGAUGUCCACAAGUCUGUGGUGGACUCAGUGUCUAUCGCAUGCGGAGCCCUCUAGGAGGAAAGGCUGUCUCAGGCCCUGUCCCCACCCAGAGACGUCUUGCUCCUCCUGCCCCCGUGUUCUCACCCUCUGCAUUUACUAGGUUAACAGUGGGCAGCAACUCUGUGGGUCAAAGACAGCCAUUUUCUCUCCUCCUUUCUUCAUCCCAUCCACCUUCGUUGCUCGCUUCUCUUCUUCCUCUUUUUCUUUAAAUGACUGGUGUUGCAGUGCCUCCGACUUACUGAGACUUAGGGAGGAGGGACGUCCAUUCCAGGCUUUGAGUUUAAACCACAAGCCCUAGUUCAUUCUUCCAGAGAACCUUGAGUGAGGAAUUACGUUCACUAGCCCAGCUAAUCAAAAUGCAGAAUUCUACUUUUGUGUUCCCGGAGCAUGUAACUCUUUUUCGUGGGAACUUGCCUAGGAGGGACGCCUGUAGUUGGACACGGGACCUGCGGGGCCUAUCCUAACAGCAUCUCCUAACAUCCCAGAUACCCCGUGACCGCUGACAUAAGCCCACAGUGGGCAGACCUAAGGCCCUGGCAGGGAGACUACUCCACCUCCAUCCCAAGCAGGACUUGGGUGCAAGUCAAAAGUGGAAUAAAUUCAACUCUGAGAGAACCACCCGGUGCUGGCAUCAGACUCUGCAGGUUUGAGGGCUCGGCUUCCACAAGGGCUCAGACUCACAGUCACACGAACUUCUGACCAGCUCUCUACAAGUUCAGGGGUUCCCUCAGGUCAGUCGUUCACUAGCAGGACUCAUGGCACUCAGGAAAGUGCGCAUUUACAAUCACAGUUUCAUUAUAAAGAAUACACUCAGGGCAAGGCCUGGGAGGGUCCGACAGGGAGCCCCCAGGCCCUCACCCUGCGGAGUCAGGGCCCAGCCCCUCCCGCCACAUCAGUACGUCCGCCAACCAGGAAGCGCCCCCCAGUGUCAGUGUCUGGAGUUUCCAGUGGGGCUUCAUCACAUCUGCACAACUGACUUAAUCACUGGCCACGUGACCAAGGUCAAUAAAGCCCAUCCUGGCUCCCAGUCAACCUUUUAUUUACUAACUCUCCACCUAGUCACUGUAUUGCAGGCUUGUGAACCCAGGAGCACAAUGUGGAACACACAGAAAUGGUUUUUGUCCUUUGGAGACUUAGAGUCUGGUGGAGAAUGUAGGCAAUGAACAAACUGAUGAAUACCUAAAAUUACUAAUUAUGACAAAGGCUCUGCAGAAAACAAUUUGGCCAAACACUUCCAGGACAUGCAACGUGCACGGAAUAGCCAGACUGGACACAUGUGAUAAAAGUAUCUUCACAGUCAAGUCGACCUCACAGCAGCUUCCACAAUUUCAAGCUCGUUUUACCCUCUGAAGCAGCAAAGACUGUACAUAAAUGCUGGCCUUCGCUGUGACCACCCUUUAACACUGGGAACGAUGACCAGACUCUUCUGCCAAAAAAGGUUGGUUCCAGUGUUUUCCACCAUUAUUUGUCAUAAAGAUAAAUGUGUUAGGAUUACAACUCAGCCACGGAGGAGAUACUAGAUCUAGUCUCUCCCAGCUUCGGUUUUCUCACUGGUGGCGUGGGGGGAAUAAUGGAUACUGUGCAGGGCUGUUGUAAGAACCAGAAACCAUGCAACGUGGCACAUAGUACCUACUUCAUCCCUCAGUGUCCUGUUCUCCUUAGAAAUACAAAUGAGUAGCUGUCACACUACUUCUAAAAUGUGACGUCCAGGAUUGGGUACAAGGCUCUAGCCAUGACGUCAAUGGGACAAAACAUCAGGGAAUGAUUUUGUCCUUGGUGUCGGCAGUGUGCCAGGGAGUGACAAAGCUUUGGACAAAUACAACAUUUAUACUCUGGUGAGACACUCCUACCAGCUAAACUGGUGGCCAGCAUCUUAUCUACAAGCAUAUCGUGAAAAAGGGUCAAAGUUUGCUAAAAGUCACUUAUAAAGACAUGGAUGCAAGUGUAUACAUCUGUAGAUCUUGAGCCUGACCGUCAGAAGGGAAAUGUAUUCUGCCCUGUCUACGGAGUUCUGCUCGCAUAGAACACAUUGGUGUCCUUGCAGGAAGAGCAAAAGCACAGACACGGACAGAAGAGGGCCAGGCGAUGCUAGGGGCUGAGAGCAGUGCGGCGCCGCUGUGGC